AUUGAACGCUGGCGGCAGGCCUAACACAUGCAAGUCGAACGGUAACAGGAAACAGCUUGCUGUUUCGCUGACGAGUGGCGGACGGGUGAGUAAUGUCUGGGAAACUGCCUGAUGGAGGGGGAUAACUACUGGAAACGGUAGCUAAUACCGCAUAACGUCGCAAGACCAAAGAGGGGGACCUUCGGGCCUCUUGCCAUCGGAUGUGCCCAGAUGGGAUUAGCUUGUUGGGGGGGUAACGGCUCACCAAGGCGACGAUCCCUAGCUGGUCUGAGGGGAUGACCAGCCACACUGGAACUGAGACACGGUCCAGACUCCUACGGGAGGCAGCAGUGGGGAAUAUUGCACAAUGGGCGCAAGCCUGAUGCAGCCGUGCCGCGUGUAUGAAGAAGGCCUUCGGGUUGUAAAGUACUUUCAGCGGGGAGGAAGGGAGUAAAGUUAAUACCUUUACUCAUUGACGUUACCCGCAGAAGAAGCACCGGCUAACUCCGUGCCAGCAGCCGCGGUAA
RNAcentral lists this ribosomal RNA (506 nucleotides) under uncultured bacterium. RNAcentral describes it as "partial 16S ribosomal RNA". It matches the Rfam family "Bacterial small subunit ribosomal RNA", at positions 30 to 523 of the family's 1533-position model. The record is from RNAcentral.